CCAUUCACAUGCAUGUUGACACCUGUGCUCGAACCUCAGAUCUCUUGAUCUCGGGCCGGUGUCCUUAACCGCGGAGCCACUGAACACUGCAUGUUUGAACCAAUUCUCCGGUAGCAUGAGACAGAAGUGCACCCGUUCUUUCGAAACGCCCUCGCAGCACUUUGACGUCAGCACGUCGCACGGGCGGAGUCAGAUUGCACAACAACCUUGGAGGUGGCGAAGUGUACACAGCGUUCACGUCUUCGUUGAACCAAGAGAAUGAACGUCAAAUUCAAAUGCCCAGACUCACUGACCGUUGGUGCUUGGUCUUUGGGGGCAGGGGUGGAUUCGUACACAGGAUUACUGAUGUUCGGGCUCGGUUCUGAUGGGUUAACCUCAACUCCUUCAUCCUCCUAAAAAGAAAUUGUAUCCCACAAAUCCGGCCGCUGCGAUUAGGAUGAUGAGCACCAGGACACCAAUGACCAUUCCUGCCUUAUGAGCCGGGUGGAGGGUUGGAGGGGGAAGCGGAGGAGCU
Long non-coding RNA from Triplophysa rosa, 514 nucleotides. RefSeq lists it as uncharacterized. Lineage: Eukaryota; Metazoa; Chordata; Actinopteri; Cypriniformes; Nemacheilidae. The transcript is spliced from 4 exons. The record is from RefSeq and is a predicted model, not a curated record.